Molecule: ribosomal RNA, 467 nt
Filed under: uncultured bacterium
Lineage: Bacteria
Description: partial 16S ribosomal RNA
Rfam family: Bacterial small subunit ribosomal RNA
Source: RNAcentral
GAUGAACGCUGGCGGCGUGCUUAACACAUGCAAGUCGAACGGAAAGGCCCAAGCUUGCUUGGGUACUCGAGUGGCGAACGGGUGAGUAACACGUGGGUGAUCUGCCCUGCACUUCGGGAUAAGCCUGGGAAACUGGGUCUAAUACCGGAUAGGACCACUUCUUGGAUGUUGUGGUGGAAAGUUUUUUCGGUGUGGGAUGAGCUCGCGGCCUAUCAGCUUGUUAGUGGGGUAAUGGCCUACCAAGGCGUCGACGGGUAGCCGGCCUGAGAGGGUGUACGGCCACAUUGGGACUGAGAUACGGCCCAGACUCCUACGGGAGGCAGCAGUGGGGAAUAUUGCACAAUGGGCGCAAGCCUGAUGCAGCGACGCCGCGUGGGGGAUGACGGCCUUCGGGUUGUAAACUCCUUUCGCUAGGGACGAAGCGUUUUGUGACGGUACCUGGAGAAGAAGCACCGGCUAACUACGUG